Molecule: transfer RNA, 77 nt
Filed under: Candidatus Omnitrophota bacterium
Lineage: Bacteria; Pseudomonadati; Candidatus Omnitrophota
Description: Candidatus Omnitrophica bacterium (aquatic metagenome) tRNA-Val
Rfam family: tRNA
About the family: Transfer RNA (tRNA) molecules are approximately 80 nucleotides in length. Their secondary structure includes four short double-helical elements and three loops (D, anti-codon, and T loops). Further hydrogen bonds mediate the characteristic L-shaped molecular structure. tRNAs have two regions of fundamental functional importance: the anti-codon, which is responsible for specific mRNA codon recognition, and the 3' end, to which the tRNAs corresponding amino acid is attached (by aminoacyl-tRNA synthetases). tRNAs cope with the degeneracy of the genetic code in two manners: having more than one tRNA (with a specific anti-codon) for a particular amino acid; and 'wobble' base-pairing, i.e. permitting non-standard base-pairing at the 3rd anti-codon position.
Source: RNAcentral
GGGCUCAUAGCUCAGUUGGUUAGAGCGCUUCCUUGACAUGGAAGAGGUCUCAGGUUCAAGUCCUGAUGGGCUCACCA